RNAcentral lists this ribosomal RNA (287 nucleotides) under uncultured Scutellospora. Its description in RNAcentral is "partial 18S ribosomal RNA". It matches the Rfam family "Eukaryotic small subunit ribosomal RNA", at positions 548 to 839 of the family's 1831-position model. The record is from RNAcentral. Lineage: Eukaryota; Fungi; Glomeromycota; Glomeromycetes; Diversisporales; Gigasporaceae.
UUGGAGGGCAAGUCUGGUGCCAGCAGCCGCGGUAAUUCCAGCUCCAAUAGCGUAUAUUAAAGUUGUUGCAGUUAAAAAGCUCGUAGUUGAAUUUCGGGGUUCUACCGUUGGUCGGGCUAACCAGUCUGUACUAGCGUGUAGAAUCCCUACCUUCUGGGGAACCAUCAUGUUAUUAAUUUAGCGUGGUGGGAAACCAGGACCUUUACCUUGAAAAAAUUAGAGUGUUCAAAGCAGGCUUACGUCUGAAUACAUUAGCAUGGAAUAAUAAAAUAGGACGUUGAUCCUUA